This 1186-nucleotide ribosomal RNA is filed under the name uncultured bacterium. Its description in RNAcentral is "bacterial SSU rRNA". It matches the Rfam family "Bacterial small subunit ribosomal RNA", at positions 8 to 1213 of the family's 1533-position model. The record is from RNAcentral.
AGAGUUUGAUCCUGGCUCAGAUUGAACGCUGGCGGAAUGCUUUACACAUGCAAGUCGAACGGCAGCACGGGUGCUUGCACCUGGUGGCGAGUGGCGAACGGGUGAGUAAUGCGUCGGAACGUACCGAGUAAUGGGGGAUAACGCAGCGAAAGUUGUGCUAAUACCGCAUACGCCCUGAGGGGGAAAGUGGGGGACCGCAAGGCCUCACGUUAUUCGAGCGGCCGACGUCUGAUUAGCUAGUUGGUGGGGUAAAGGCCUACCAAGGCGACGAUCAGUAGCGGGUCUGAGAGGAUGAUCCGCCACACUGGGACUGAGACACGGCCCAGACUCCUACGGGAGGCAGCAGUGGGGAAUUUUGGACAAUGGGGGCAACCCUGAUCCAGCCAUUCCGCGUGAGUGAAGAAGGCCUUCGGGUUGUAAAGCUCUUUCAGCAGGAACGAAACGGUACGCUCUAACAUAGUGUGCUAAUGACGGUACCUGCAGAAGAAGCACCGGCUAACUACGUGCCAGCAGCCGCGGUAAUACGUAGGGUGCGAGCGUUAAUCGGAAUUACUGGGCGUAAAGCGUGCGCAGGCGGAUUGUUAAGCAAGAUGUGAAAUCCCCGGGCUUAACCUGGGAAUGGCAUUUUGAACUGGCAGUCUAGAGUGUGUCAGAGGGGGGUGGAAUUCCACGUGUAGCAGUGAAAUGCGUAGAGAUGUGGAGGAACACCAAUGGCGAAGGCAGCCCCCUGGGAUAACACUGACGCUCAUGUACGAAAGCGUGGGUAGCAAACAGGAUUAGAUACCCUGGUAGUCCACGCCCUAAACGAUGUCAACUAGCUGUUGGGGCCUUCGGGCCUUAGUAGCGCAGCUAACGCGUGAAGUUGACCGCCUGGGGAGUACGGUCGCAAGAUUAAAACUCAAAGGAAUUGACGGGGACCCGCACAAGCGGUGGAUGAUGUGGAUUAAUUCGAUGCAACGCGAAAAACCUUACCUACCCUUGACAUGUCUGGAAUCCUUUAGAGAUAGAGGAGUGCUCGCAAGAGAACCGGAACACAGGUGCUGAUGGCUGUCGUCAGCUCGUGUGUGAGAUGUUGGUUAAGUCCCGCAACGGCGCACCCUUGUCAUGUUGCUACGAAAGGGCACUCUAAUGAACUGCCGUACAAGCGGAGAAGGGGGUGACGCAAUCUCAUGGCCUUAUGGUAGGU